Non-coding RNA from Myodes glareolus (Bank vole), 1122 nucleotides. The record is from RefSeq and is a predicted model, not a curated record. Lineage: Eukaryota; Metazoa; Chordata; Mammalia; Rodentia; Cricetidae.
CAGAGCCUCCCGCAAAGCAGCCCAAGGGCUGCGGCCUGAAAACCCAACGCUGGAUAUUGUCUCUUAGGAUUGGAAACCUCAUUGAUGGACUUUCUCCUGAAUCAGAUGCCAGAACGGAUUGGGUAUAAAGAUUUCCCCCUCCCCCAAACGCGAGUGUAGGCCAGGGUCCGAGAACAGACUAGUUGCAGGCUUGUAACCCUUCGUUUCCGGGAAGAUUUUCCUUUCCAUAUUGGAAACUUCUGGAAACUACAAAACCAAGAGACAAAAAAAGCGACCCUGCUACUUGAAGGAGAGCUCCCUCUCUGGGGAACCAGAUCAGGAUGGAAGCUCUCAGCUCCUGUUCCAGCACCAGUCUGUCUGCCCGCCCCCAUGCUCCCUGCCAUGGUGAUUACGGACCAACCCUCUGAAACUGUGAUCCAGCUACCAGCUGUUCUAAUUCAGAGUGCUUAUCCAAAGAAAAUGAAGUCAUUGUCCCAGGGAGACCCUGCCACACCAUUCAGAAUGACCCAGGUGUGAAACCAGCCUCAGUGCCAGCUGAAGGAGGGAUGGAUGGAAAAAACGUGGAGUGGACAUGGAGUAUUAGUAUUCAGCCAGAAAGAAGAAUGAAACACUGUUAUCUGCAGCAAAAUGGAUGGAACUUGAGAGUGUUGUGUGAGAUGAAAUGAACCAGACAUAGACAGACAAACUUCAUACAUGUUCUGAUGUAGAAGCAAAGAAAAAGCCAACCUGAGCACAGAGAAGUAAUGAGGAGAGAUUAGGAGGGAAGAAAACUGGGUGCUGGUUUCAUUAAUGCAUGAGGUACACAUGUAGAACUGGUACCCCAAAUCCCAUUAAUUUGUGCAAUUAAAAAUAGAUAAAAUGUAAAGUAAUAGCUGCAGGUGGAGGCAGUAACAAGGCAGGUGAGGAGGCAGGUGGGGAAAGGUGAGAAGGUAGGUGGGGGCAAGUAAGGAGGCAGGAGUGGGGCAGGUGAGAAGGCAGAUGGGGCAGGUGAAAAUGCAGGUGGGAACAGAUGAGGAGACAGGUGGGCAGGUGAUAAGGCAGGUGAGGGCAGGUGGGGAGGCAGAUGGGGCAGGAACAGGUGAGUAGGCAGGAGUAGGGCAAGUGAGUAGGCAGGUGGGAACA